AGUGAACGCUGGCGGUAGGCCUAACACAUGCAAGUCGAACGGCAGCACAGUAAGAGCUUGCUCUUACGGGUGGCGAGUGGCGGACGGGUGAGGAAUACAUCGGAAUCUACUUUUUCGUGGGGGAUAACGUAGGGAAACUUACGCUAAUACCGCAUACGACCUACGGGUGAAAGCAGGGGAUCUUCGGACCUUGCGCGAUUGAAUGAGCCGAUGUCGGAUUAGCUAGUUGGCGGGGUAAAGGCCCACCAAGGCGACGAUCCGUAGCUGGUCUGAGAGGAUGGUCAGCCACACUGGAACUGAGACACGGUCCAGACUCCUACGGGAGGCAGCAGUGGGGAAUAUUGGACAAUGGGCGCAAGCCUGAUCCAGCCAUACCGCGUGGGUGAAGAAGGCCUUCGGGUUGGAAAGCCCUUUUGUGGGGAAAGAAAAGCAGCAGGUUAAUACCACGCUGUUCUGACGGUACCCAAAGAAUAAGCACCGGCUAACUUCGUG
Molecule: ribosomal RNA, 492 nt
Filed under: uncultured bacterium
Lineage: Bacteria
Description: partial 16S ribosomal RNA
Rfam family: Bacterial small subunit ribosomal RNA
Source: RNAcentral